ACGAACGCUGGCGGCGUGGAUAAGACAUGCAAGUCGAACGCUGACAUUCGGGUAGCAAUAUUCGGAUGUUGGAGUGGCGCAGGGGUGUGUAACACGUGGGUAAUUUACCGCGAAGCCCGGAAUAACUCGCUGAAAGGCGAGCUAAUGCCGGAUGAGACUCCUGGGGAGCAUUCCUUGGGAUUGAAAGCUGGGGACCGAAAGGCCUGGCACUUUGCGAUAAGCCCGCGGCCUAUCAGCUAGUUGGUGAGGUAAAGGCUCACCAAGGCUAAGACGGGUAGCUGGUCUGAGAGGACGACCAGCCACACUGGAACUGAGACACGGUCCACACACCUACGGGUGGCAGCAGUCGAGAAUUUUUCACAAUGGGGGAAACCCUGAUGGAGCGACGCCGCGUGGGGGAUGAAUGGCUUCGGCCCGUAAACCCCUGUCAUUUGCGAACAAUGCUUUGGUAUGAACAAUACCCAAGUUGAUAGUAGCAGAAGAGGAAGAGACGGCUAACUCUGUGCCAGCAGCCGCGGUAAUACAUAGGUCUCAAGCGUUGUUCGGAUUCACUGGGCGUAAAGGGUGCGUAUGCGGUUAGGUAAGUCUAAAGUGAAAGCUCCGGGCUUAACCCGGAGAUGGCUUUGGAUACUAUCUGGCUAGAGGGCCGGAGAGGGGACUGGAAUUCUCGGUGUAGCACUGAAAUGCGUAGAUAUCGAGAGGAACACCAGUGGCGAAAGCGAGUCCCUGGACGGCAUCUGACGCUGAGGCACGAAAGCCAUGGUAGCAAACGGGAUUACAUAUCCCGGUAGUCCU
Molecule: ribosomal RNA, 795 nt
Filed under: uncultured bacterium
Lineage: Bacteria
Description: bacterial SSU rRNA
Rfam family: Bacterial small subunit ribosomal RNA
Source: RNAcentral